CACUGCUAAAUAGGAUUAGGUUUCUCUUCUGAAAUUUGAUCAUUUUGUCACUUACCCAGCGAGACGGGGCGGGGGGGGUGAGCCCUGAGGGAGGCUCUCGCUUUUGGCACCAAGUGCCCGGUGUGUGCCAGGCACGACCCACUGCAGGGCCAGCAGCAGGCGGGGUGUUUGACUGGGGCGGUACAGCUGUCCCAGUGUAACAUGGGUGUCCUAUGGCAGCUUGGGGGAUGGAAACCUCCCAGAAUCAUAGAAUCACAGAAUGGUUUGGGUUGGAAGGGACCUCCAAGAGCAUCUAGUUCCAACCCCCCUGCCAUGGGCAGGGGCACCCUCCACUACACCAGGUUGCCCAAAGCCUCAUCCAACCUGGCCUUGAACACUUCCAGGGAUGGGGCAUCCACAACUUCUCUGGGCAACGUGUUCCACUGCCUCACCACCCUCAGAUUGAAAAAUUUCUUCCUUAGAUCUAAUCAAAAUCUCCCCUCUUUCAGUUUAAAUCCAUUGCCCCUUGUCCUGUCACUACAUGCCCUUGUCCAAAGUCCCUCUCCAGGUUUCCUGUAGGCCCCCUUUAAGUACUGGAAGGCUGCUAUAAGAUCACCCUGGAGCCUUCUCUUCUCCAGGCUGAACAGCCCCAACUCUCUCAGCCUGUCUCCAUAGCAGAGGUGCUCCAGCCCUUGGAUCAUCUUCGAGGCCUCCUCUGGACCUUUUCCAGCAGCUCCAUGUCCUUCUUGUGCUGGGGACUCCAGAGCUGAACGCAGUAUUCCAGGUGGGGUCUCAGGAGAGCAGAGUAGAGGGGCAGUAGAAAGGCAAAAGCUCACUUGAUCUUGAUUUUCAGUACGAAUACAGACCAUGGGAGCGGGGCCUCACGAUCCUUCUGACUUUUGGGUUUUAAGCAGGAGGUGUCAGAACAGUCACCACAGGGAUAGCUGGCUCGUGGCGGCCGAGCGUUCAUAGCGAUGUCGCUUUCUGAUCCUUCAAUGUCAACUCUUCCUCCAUUGUGAAGCAUAAUUCACCACGCGUUGGAUUGUUCACCCGCUAGUAGGGAACGCGAGCGGAACAUUGUAAGAUUUCUCACUU
This 1074-nucleotide non-coding RNA is filed under the name Tauraco erythrolophus (red-crested turaco). RNAcentral's name for it is "Eukaryotic large subunit ribosomal RNA". It matches the Rfam family "Eukaryotic large subunit ribosomal RNA", at positions 2453 to 2988 of the family's 3401-position model. The record is from Rfam by way of RNAcentral. Lineage: Eukaryota; Metazoa; Chordata; Aves; Musophagiformes; Musophagidae.